This 614-nucleotide ribosomal RNA is filed under the name uncultured bacterium. Its description in RNAcentral is "bacterial SSU rRNA". It matches the Rfam family "Bacterial small subunit ribosomal RNA", at positions 11 to 634 of the family's 1533-position model. The record is from RNAcentral.
GUUUGAUCAUGGCUCAGGAUGAACGCUAGCGGCAGGCCUAAUACAUCGCUAGUCGAACGGUGUCUUCGGACAUAGUGGCGCACGGGUGCGUAACACGUAUGCAACCUACCUUACAUUGGGGGAUAGCCUUUCGAAAGGGAGAUUAAUACCGCAUAAGACAGUAGCUGGGCAUCCAGCAGCUGUUAAAGAUUUAUCGAUGUAAGAUGGGCAUGCGACCAAUUAGUUAGUUGGCGAGGUAACGGCUCACCAAGACUAUGAUUGGUAGGGGAACUGAGAGGUCAAUCCCCCACACUGGCACUGAGAUACGGGCCAGACUCCUACGGGAGGCAGCAGUAGGGAAUAUUGGGCAAUGGACGCAAGUCUGACCCAGCCAUGCCGCGUGCAGGAUGAAGGCGUUAUGCGUCGUAAACUGCUUUUAUACAGGAAGAAACGACUCUUGCGAGAGGCAUUGACGGUACUGUAUGAAUAAGCACCGGCUAACUCCGUGCCAGCAGCCGCGGUAAUACGGAGGGUGCAAGCGUUGUCCGGAUUUAUUGGGUUUAAAGGGUGCGCAGGUGGUUUAUUAAGUCAGUGGUGAAAGACGGUCGCUCAACGAUUGCAGUGCCAUUGAAACU